AGACUCCUACGGGAGGCAGCAGUGAGGAAUUUUGCGCAAUGGGGGAAACCCUGACGCAGCAACGCCGCGUGAGUGAUGAAGGCCUUCGGGUCGUAAAACUCUGUCAAGUGGGAAGAACCUGAUUAUCGUUAAUAUCGGUAAUCACUGACGGUACCACUGAAGGAAGCACCGGCUAACUCCGUGCCAGCAGCCGCGGUAAUACGGGGGGUGCAAGCGUUAUUCGGAAUUAUUGGGCGUAAAGAGCGCGUAGGCGGCCAGUUAAGUCAGAUGUGAAAGCCCGGGGCUCACCCCCGGAAGUGCAUUUGAACUAAUUGGCUUGAGUAUGGGAGAGGAAAGUGGAAUUCCUGGUGGUAGGGGUGAAAUUCGUAGAUUAUCAGGAGGAACACCGGUGGGCGAAGGCGACUUCCUGGACCAAUACUGACGCUGAGGCGCGAAGGCGUGGGGAGCAAACAGGAUUAGAUACCCUGGUAGUCCACGCAGUAAACGGUGAUCACUAGGUGUGUUAGGGGGUAUUGACCCCUGCUGGUGCCGGAGUUAACGCAUUAGUGAUCGGGGGAAUACGGCGCAGAUUAAACUCAAAGAAUUGACGGGCCCGCACAGCGG
This 603-nucleotide ribosomal RNA is filed under the name uncultured bacterium. RNAcentral describes it as "bacterial SSU rRNA". It matches the Rfam family "Bacterial small subunit ribosomal RNA", at positions 333 to 932 of the family's 1533-position model. The record is from RNAcentral.